GUGAGAACGCUGCCUAUAAAUAAAGCCAAGAUGAGAAAAUUUAUUGAGUAUUUUCAGUUUUGCACAUUGCAGUUGCAAUGCAUUCUACUUUAGCUACACAAUACAUUUUAUUGUUGGAAGAAAGGAGAAAAGGAACAUAUUUUUCCUGAAGAAAAAGACAGAAGAAAUCAUCAUAUUAAAGGAAGACUCAGCUAGUGCAAACUUCCUUCCUACUCAGCAUUACCUUAAGG
This 230-nucleotide long non-coding RNA is filed under the name Rattus norvegicus (Norway rat). RNAcentral describes it as "long non-coding RNA NONRATT032270". Lineage: Eukaryota; Metazoa; Chordata; Mammalia; Rodentia; Muridae. The record is from RNAcentral.